RNAcentral lists this ribosomal RNA (531 nucleotides) under Pseudorhodoplanes sp. RNAcentral's name for it is "bacterial SSU rRNA". It matches the Rfam family "Bacterial small subunit ribosomal RNA", at positions 1 to 576 of the family's 1533-position model. Lineage: Bacteria; Pseudomonadati; Pseudomonadota; Alphaproteobacteria; Hyphomicrobiales. The record is from RNAcentral.
CAACUUGAGAGUUUGAUCCUGGCUCAGAGCGAACGCUGGCGGCAGGCUUAAUACAUGCAAGUCGAGCGCCUGUAGCAAUACAGGAGCGGCAGACGGGAGAGUAACACGUGGGAACGUGCCCUUUGGUUCGGAACAACACAGGGAAACUUGUGCUAAUACCGGAUAAGCCCUUACGGGGAAAGAUUUAUCGCCAAAGGAUCGGCCCGCGUCUGAUUAGCUAGUUGGUGGGGUAAUGGCCCACCAAGGCGACGAUCAGUAGCUGGUCUGAGAGGAUGAUCAGCCUCAUUGGGACUGAGACACGGCCCAAACUCCUACGGGAGGCAGCAGUAGGGAAUAUUGGACAAUGGGGGCAACCCUGAUCCAGCCAUGCCGCGUGAGUGAUGAAGGCCUUAGGGUUGUAAAGCUCUUUCGGCGGGGAAGAUAAUGACGGUACCCGCAUAAGAAGCCCCGGCUAACUUCGUGCCAGCAGCCGCGGUAAUACGAAGGGGGCUAGCGUUGCUCGGAAUCACUGGGCGUAAAGCGCACGUAGGC